This 58-nucleotide ribosomal RNA is filed under the name Trichoderma harzianum. RNAcentral's name for it is "partial 28S ribosomal RNA". The record is from RNAcentral. Lineage: Eukaryota; Fungi; Ascomycota; Sordariomycetes; Hypocreales; Hypocreaceae.
UGACCUCGGAUCAGGUAGGAAUACCCGCUGAACUUAAGCAUAUCAAAAAACGGAAGGA